GAUGAACGCUAGCGAUAGGCCUAUCACAUGCAAGUCGAGGGGCAUCACGUCUUCGGAUGGUGGCGACCGGCGCACGGGUGAGUAACACGUAUGCAACCUGCCUUUAACAGGGGGAUAGCCCUAAGAAAUUGGGAUUAAUACCGCAUAAAACAGGGAUACCGCAUGGUAUUAUUAGUUAAAGAUUUAUCGGUUAAAGAUGGGCAUGCGCUGGAUUAGAUAGUUGGUAAGGUAACGGCUUACCAAGUCGGCGAUCCAUAGGGGAACUGAGAGGUUAGUCCCCCACACUGGUACUGAGACAGGGACCAGACUCCUACGGGAGGCAGCAGUGAGGAAUAUUGGUCAAUGGUCGAGAGACUGAACCAGCCAAAUCGCGUGAAGGAAGACGGUAUUAUGUAUUGUAAACUUCUUUUGAGAGGGAAUAAAGUGCGGGACGUGU
Molecule: ribosomal RNA, 436 nt
Filed under: uncultured Bacteroidales bacterium
Lineage: Bacteria; Pseudomonadati; Bacteroidota; Bacteroidia; Bacteroidales
Description: bacterial SSU rRNA
Rfam family: Bacterial small subunit ribosomal RNA
Source: RNAcentral